AAGGGUCAAAAGCAAAUAGCCCUCAAGAUCAAACGAACUCAUCUUCGAGUAUACCAUCGGAAAUGGACAUUGUUGGUGAAUCAACUCUGCCUCAAAACACCGUGGUGGCACCUCGACAAACUCCUACUUCUCUUGUUGGAUCUGGAAAUCAUUCCUAUGCAACUCCAAAAGAAGGUGACGCAAGUGACCAAAAAUGGCAGUGGAAGUUAAAAAAAAAGGUGCUAUGUUGCCCCUAGGCCGCCCAAGCAUUAGCAAGCAAAUUGUCAUUCAAACUUGAAAUGAUUGAGCGUUGAUCUUGAGAACUUGAAGAAGUAUGUGCAAGGAUGGAACUUUAGAUGUUUAUUGAAUUUAUAAUCUUAGUUGUAAUGUUUAUUUUAAGUCGAAUAUUUAUUUUAGGUGUGGAAGACUUGAACUUUGGAAUGUUUAUUUUAGGUGUGGAAGACUUGAACUUUGGACUUUUGGAAGAUUUGAACUUUGAUGUUUGUUUAACUUUGGACUUUGGAA
Molecule: small RNA, 504 nt
Filed under: Malus domestica (apple)
Lineage: Eukaryota; Viridiplantae; Streptophyta; Magnoliopsida; Rosales; Rosaceae
Description: sRNA MD11G0119200
Source: RNAcentral